UACGGGGGGAGCAAGCGUUGUCCGGAAUCAUUGGGCGUAAAGCGCGCGUAGGUGGCUUCAUAAGUCCGUUGUGAAAGUCAAAGGCUCAACCUUUGAAAGCCGAUGGAUACUGUGAAGCUAGAGUACGGAAGAGGCGAGUGGAAUUCCUGGUGUAGCGGUGGAAUGCGCAGAUAUCAGGAGGAACACCAAUAGCGAAGGCAGCUCGCUGGGACGUUACGGACACUGAGGCGCGAAAGCGUGGGGAGCGAACAGG
This 253-nucleotide ribosomal RNA is filed under the name uncultured bacterium. RNAcentral's name for it is "partial 16S ribosomal RNA". It matches the Rfam family "Bacterial small subunit ribosomal RNA", at positions 524 to 776 of the family's 1533-position model. The record is from RNAcentral.